Molecule: unclassified non-coding RNA, 173 nt
Filed under: uncultured Sordariomycetes
Lineage: Eukaryota; Fungi; Ascomycota; Sordariomycetes
Description: sequence contains ITS2
Source: RNAcentral
CAACCCUCGAACCCCUACGGGGGAUCGGUGUUGGGGACCGGCCCCGCCCCGCAGCGGGCAGCCGCCCCCGAAAUGAAGUGGCGGUCACGUCGCGACCUCCUCUGCGUAGUAGCUUUUGAAACCUCGCAUCGGAGCGCGGCGCGGCCACGCCGUUAAACCCCCAACUUCUGAAA